UGCUGGCUUAGGUUCUAUACAGAGCUGUCUUUACAUUGCAUUUCUUUCUUUUUGAUAGUCUAGCUCCACAGUGAGAGCCUAUCAAACCAGUAAAUCUCGAGUGACCAUGAGCCCUGGCUUCAGCUCCCAAUGGAACAGCAGCCAACCCGCCUGGAAUACGUACUCCUUUCCAAGAGCAAGCUUGCACUAUCAAUCCCACGCCAGCUAUACCUACUGCACUGGGCACCCUGCUUUUGCGUCUAUUAUAAUAUAGAUCUGAAGCUCACACCUUGUACUUGUUAAAUGGAGAUGAUGAACUUCUUAAAUCAAGCCCUGUAGGUAAGCAUCGUGGGCUUUGUGUGGUCACACAUUUGAACCUCUGACUCACUUUGGACGGUAAUAGCUUAAAGGCUGAUGAUUGUCACUUGGAGAUUUAGUAAUGAAAAUGCACAGGAAUAUUU
Bos indicus x Bos taurus (hybrid cattle) is the source of this 440-nucleotide long non-coding RNA. The record is from Ensembl. Lineage: Eukaryota; Metazoa; Chordata; Mammalia; Artiodactyla; Bovidae.